AGUAUUGGUGAUUUGCAAAAUAUCCAACCACACCUCUCCCUAGGGCAUGGCUCACCUCACCGGAGGUCCACCCACAAAGUAAUUAGGGAUACUUGACAAGUGAGAAUACUAUCCUGCGCUCAGUUGCUACAUGACCUGAGAUAUAAUAGGGAAGAAAUUGAGACGAUGGAUGGUUUUUCCCGAAAAAAAGAUUGGAAUGACGACAACUAGAGAAGAUGACAUAGGCCACACCCGGAUUUUUUCACCCACCCCUAUGCAAGUAUGCAUAAUUCUAUCAUGUGAAGAUCUAGGUGUGUGCUCUACUUAAUCCCUAGGGCAUAGUUACUCUCUCUUUCAAAAAUUCCCUUCCCUAAUUUUCUUGAAGGAAGCCAACAACGGACGAACCAGCAAAGCUACAAAGAUAUUUUAGGAGGAAUGAAGCUAUU
RNAcentral lists this long non-coding RNA (425 nucleotides) under Zostera marina. RNAcentral's name for it is "long non-coding RNA (ZMAR_LNC003777)". The record is from RNAcentral. Lineage: Eukaryota; Viridiplantae; Streptophyta; Magnoliopsida; Alismatales; Zosteraceae.